GGUGGCUCAGUGGUAGAGCACUUGCCUUGCAUGCAUGAGGCCCUGGGUUCAAUUCCCCAGUACCA
This is a non-coding RNA of Dipodomys ordii (Ord's kangaroo rat), 65 nucleotides long. The record is from Rfam. Lineage: Eukaryota; Metazoa; Chordata; Mammalia; Rodentia; Heteromyidae.